This 497-nucleotide ribosomal RNA is filed under the name uncultured bacterium. RNAcentral's name for it is "partial 16S ribosomal RNA". It matches the Rfam family "Bacterial small subunit ribosomal RNA", at positions 28 to 507 of the family's 1533-position model. The record is from RNAcentral.
GAUGAACGCUGGCGGCGUGCCUAAUACAUGCAAGUCGAGCGAACAGACGAGGAGCUUGCUCCUCUGACGUUAGCGGCGGACGGGUGAGUAACACGUGGAUAACCUACCUAUAAGACUGGGAUAACUUCGGGAAACCGGAGCUAAUACCGGAUAAUAUAUUGAACCGCAUGGUUCAAUAGUGAAAGACAGUUUUGCUGUCACUUAUAGAUGGAUCCGCGCCGCAUUAGCUAGUUGGUAAGGUAACGGCUUACCAGGGCAACGAUGCGUAGCCGACCUGAGAGGGUGAUCGGCCACACUGGAACUGAGACACGGUCCAGACUCCUACGGGAGGCAGCAGUAGGGAAUCUUCCGCAAUGGGCGAAAGCCUGACGGAGCAACGCCGCGUGAGUGAUGAAGGUCUUCGGAUCGUAAAACUCUGUUAUUAGGGAAGAACAAAUGUGUAAGUAACUAUGCACGUCUUGACGGUACCUAAUCAGAAAGCCACGGCUAACUACGUG